UACGAAGGGGGCUAGCGUUGUUCGGAAUUACUGGGCGUAAAGCGCGCGCAGGCGGUUCUUCAAGUCAGAGGUGAAAGCCCAGAGCUCAACUCUGGAAUGGCCUUUGAGACUAGAGAACUAGGGUACGGGAGAGGUGAGUGGAAUUCCGAGUGUAGAGGUGAAAUUCGUAGAUAUUCGGAAGAACACCAGUGGCGAAGGCGGGUCUCUGGACAGUUCCUGACGCUGAGGCGCGAAGGCCAGGGGAGCAAACGGG
RNAcentral lists this ribosomal RNA (253 nucleotides) under uncultured bacterium. Its description in RNAcentral is "partial 16S ribosomal RNA". It matches the Rfam family "Bacterial small subunit ribosomal RNA", at positions 524 to 776 of the family's 1533-position model. The record is from RNAcentral.